UUCCCUACGGGACGCAGCAGUGGGGAAUAUUGCACAAUGGGGGAAACCCUGAUGCAGCGACGCCGCGUGAGUGAAGAAGUAUUUCGGUAUGUAAAGCUCUAUCAGCAGGAACGAGACAAGACGGUACCUGACUAAGAAGCCCCGGCUAACUACGUGCCAGCAGCCGCGGUAAUACGUAGGGGGCAAGCGUUAUCCGGAUUUACUGGGUGUAAAGGGAGCGUAGACGGCAUAGCAAGUCUGAAGUGAAAGCCCAAGGCUCAACCAUGGGACUGCUUUGGAAACUGUUAAGCUAGAGUGCUGGAGAG
Molecule: ribosomal RNA, 305 nt
Filed under: uncultured bacterium
Lineage: Bacteria
Description: bacterial SSU rRNA
Rfam family: Bacterial small subunit ribosomal RNA
Source: RNAcentral